RNAcentral lists this long non-coding RNA (396 nucleotides) under Junco hyemalis (dark-eyed junco). RNAcentral describes it as "lncRNA (ENSJHYG00000010050.1)". The record is from RNAcentral. Lineage: Eukaryota; Metazoa; Chordata; Aves; Passeriformes; Passerellidae.
UUCACCCCACCCACAUUUUUUAAUGGAGCUGAAGUGAACACACUCUUUUAGGUUACUGCUGUUUAGGCAAGACUCUGUCUAGCUCCAAGAAUAACAUUAGCUGCUGCAGCACAGAUUAAGGGUUGGCAUGAAGGUCCAAGUGUGAGUUUGUCAUCGUUGGUUGGUGCCUGUUGUUCUGAAGACGAGAGAAGCACGAGCUUGUGUGACAUCAGCUUCCAGCGUUGGUUUGAUGUGGCCUCUGCCUUCUCACUGGCUAAUCGAGCUCCACUGGGACUGGAGAUGGGUUCCAAGAAAGUACAAUUGAUUAGAUGCAUAUUUUCUGAAUUAUACAACAGAUCACACCCAGCUGCACAGCUUUUCUCAGGUGCUGAAUUCUUGAAAUUACUGCCCAUCUGA